GACAUUCACCAGGGGUGUCCCGACAAGGGGCUGAGAUUUCGCUACGCCAAACCGCAAGGGACAAGCAGCGCGAUGACCCGUUGAACCUGAUCCAGUUCAUACUGGCGUAGGGACGGUGCGAGCGCUGCAAA
Molecule: non-coding RNA, 131 nt
Filed under: Agrobacterium albertimagni
Lineage: Bacteria; Pseudomonadati; Pseudomonadota; Alphaproteobacteria; Hyphomicrobiales; Rhizobiaceae
Also listed under: 1 other name
Description: TPP sequence
Rfam family: TPP riboswitch aptamer (THI element)
About the family: Vitamin B(1) in its active form thiamin pyrophosphate (TPP) is an essential coenzyme that is synthesised by coupling of pyrimidine and thiazole moieties in bacteria. The previously detected thiamin-regulatory element, thi box was extended, resulting in a new, highly conserved RNA secondary structure, the THI element, which is widely distributed in eubacteria and also occurs in some archaea.
Source: RNAcentral